Cyprinus carpio (common carp) is the source of this 974-nucleotide long non-coding RNA. The record is from Ensembl. Lineage: Eukaryota; Metazoa; Chordata; Actinopteri; Cypriniformes; Cyprinidae.
AUGUCAGCAGACUGCACACAUCAAAAUGUGGCCAUUGCUCUGACAUCGACUGCACUGGUGAUAUCUGUGUGUUUAAAUGUUGUAUUCUGUUUAUUAAGGAGAAAGAAAAAAAUAUAUGCAGCUAAUGAAAAAACGUCUGAAUAUGGAGAUGAGCCAUUACGUCAAGAUUCACUUCGGUCUUACAGGUUUGAGGAUGAUGAGAUGGAAAGACAGGAAAAUCCUAUUUAUGGAAAUAUCUGUUUAGAUAGUGGAGGAGCUUUUGAAAUGUCUCCGGAGGUGUGCUAUGAACAAAUGUCCCAUGCAAGCACAGCAAAGCAGGGAUUAAAGGUCCAGCAGGGGGACGUGUCCUAUGCCUCUCUGGAUCUGACUGCCAAUAAAAAGCGUAGGAAGAAGAGAAAAUACAACAAACAGGCUCCAACUCACCAGGCUCAGACACAUCCUCAACCUGCAUCCCAGCAGAACUGCAUGGAUCUGGAUGAAGAGGCUGAUGUCACCCUUCCGUCCCGGAGCAGCAGCCUCAUGGUUUCACGUCAUAGUAUCUACCUUAACAGUCAUCAAGUAGCCCUGGAGGCAGAAGAGAGGGAGAGGGAGAGAGAGAGGGAGAGAGUAAGAGAGAUGGAAUUGGAAAGAGAAAGAGAUGAUAAUGCAGAGUUUGAGAUGCACAGAAAUGUGCAUGAAGACUUUGAAUACUCCCACAGUAGAUCAAGACAAAGUCUAGAACAGGACAGUUAACAGUUAAAAAAAAACUUUAGCGUCUUAAAAGAUGAAACACAGGAUACUGUGGGGUGGUGCUGUCAACAGCUGUGAUAUUUAAAGCUCAUCGCUAAAGUAUAUGAGUCACACCCCAAAUCAUAAUUUCUGUCUGUUCAAAAGCAUACAGAGGAGACCAGCUAUCUGUUAGGUUGUGUCCAAUCGAGACACAUCUAAAUCAGUUUAUCACUUUAAGUGUGCUUUCUUGUUUCUUGCAUUUGAAG